CCCGGUGUUGACAGCGAGGAGGCCACACCCGUUCCCAUCCCGAACACGGAAGUUAAGCUCUUCAGCGCCGAUGGUACUGCACGGGAGGCUGUGCGGGAGAGUAGGUGAAUGCCGGGA
RNAcentral lists this ribosomal RNA (117 nucleotides) under Desulfococcaceae bacterium HSG9. Lineage: Bacteria; Pseudomonadati; Thermodesulfobacteriota; Desulfobacteria; Desulfobacterales; Desulfococcaceae. The record is from RNAcentral.